UACGUAGGGUGCAAGCGUUGUCCGGAAUUAUUGGGCGUAAAGAGCUCGUAGGCGGUUCGUCGCGUCGGCUGUGAAAUCCCGAGGCUCAACCUCGGGUCUGCAGUCGAUACGGGCGGACUGGAGUUCGGCAGGGGAGACUGGAAUUCCUGGUGUAGCGGUGAAAUGCGCAGAUAUCAGGAGGAACACCGGUGGCGAAGGCGGGUCUCUGGGCCGAUGACUGACGUGAGGAGCGAAAGCGUGGGGAGCGAACAGG
This 253-nucleotide ribosomal RNA is filed under the name uncultured bacterium. RNAcentral's name for it is "partial 16S ribosomal RNA". It matches the Rfam family "Bacterial small subunit ribosomal RNA", at positions 524 to 776 of the family's 1533-position model. The record is from RNAcentral.